Non-coding RNA from Malus domestica (apple), 514 nucleotides. The record is from RefSeq and is a predicted model, not a curated record. NCBI's taxonomy places the organism in Eukaryota, Viridiplantae, Streptophyta, Magnoliopsida, Rosales, Rosaceae.
UUCUGCAACAGCACCUGCCAUACAGGAAUGGCUGUUUGACUCCGGGGCCAAUGCUCACAUCACCAAUAAUCUAGCUACUGUUGCGCAUCCUCAUCCUUAUACUGGCAUGGACCAAGUCAAUGGAGUUGUUGGUGGCACAGGAACUCCACACGGGGAGGAUGCUUUUACAAGGCCCGAGUAGGAAUGGAUUCUACCCUUUUUCUGGUGUUUCAUCUUCCAUUAAAGGCGUGUCUGCAUUUUUAGGAACUAGAGUGUCCAAUUCAAUUUGGCACUCUAGGUUAGGUCAUCCAUCUUCUCAUAUUUUGCAAAAUUUGGUUUCUAGGAACAAAUUGCCUAUUAAGGGCGUUGUAACUAGUGAGUUAUGUCACUCAUGUCCCAUGGGCAAGAGUCACAAGUUACCUUUUCCAUUGUCUGUCUCUAGGUCUUCAUCUCCUUUACAAUUGGUUCAUUCCGAUGUAUGGACUUCACCUUCUUUUUCUAUCAAUGGUUUUAAAUAUUAUGUCGUGUUUAUUGA